CCAGACAGCCAGGAUGUUGGCUUAGAAGCAGCCAUCAUUUAAAGAAAGCGUAAUAGCUCACUGGUCGAGUCGGCCUGCGCGGAAGAUGUAACGGGGCUAAACCAUGCACCGAAGCUGCGGCAGCGACGCUUAUGCGUUGUUGGGUAGGGGAGCGUUCUGUAAGCCUGCGAAGGUGUGCUGUGAGGCAUGCUGGAGGUAUCAGAAGUGCGAAUGCUGACAUAAGUAACGAUAAAGCGGGUGAAAAGCCCGCUCGCCGGAAGACCAAGGGUUCCUGUCCAACGUUAAUCGGGGCAGGGUGAGUCGACCCCUAAGG
RNAcentral lists this ribosomal RNA (313 nucleotides) under Escherichia coli. RNAcentral's name for it is "bacterial LSU rRNA". It matches the Rfam family "Bacterial large subunit ribosomal RNA", at positions 1085 to 1396 of the family's 2925-position model. The record is from RNAcentral. Lineage: Bacteria; Pseudomonadati; Pseudomonadota; Gammaproteobacteria; Enterobacterales; Enterobacteriaceae.